CCUACGGGUGGCUGCAGUAAGGAAUAUUGGUCAAUGGACGAAAGUCUGAACCAGCCAUGCCGCGUGGAGGAUGAAGGUCCUCUGGAUUGUAAACUUCUUUUAUAUGGGACGAAAAAAGGCCUUUCCAGGUCGUCUGACGGUACCAUAUGAAUAAGCACCGGAUAACUCCGUGCCAGCAGCCGCGGUACUACGGAGGGUGCAAGCGUUAUCCGGCUUAACUGGGUUGAAGGUGUGCGUGUAAGUGUUGGGUGAAAUCCCCGAGCUUAACUUGGGAACUGCCAUUGAUACUAUCAGUCUUGAAUACCGUGGAGGUCAGCGGAAUAUGUCAUGUAGCGGUGAAAUGCUUAGAUAUGACAUAGAACACCAAUUGCGAAGGCAGCUGGCUACACGAGUAUUGACACUGAGGCACGAAAGCGUGGGGAUCAAACAGGAUUAGAUACCCGUGUAGUC
RNAcentral lists this ribosomal RNA (450 nucleotides) under uncultured bacterium. Its description in RNAcentral is "partial 16S ribosomal RNA". It matches the Rfam family "Bacterial small subunit ribosomal RNA", at positions 338 to 795 of the family's 1533-position model. The record is from RNAcentral.